This 481-nucleotide ribosomal RNA is filed under the name uncultured bacterium. RNAcentral describes it as "partial 16S ribosomal RNA". It matches the Rfam family "Bacterial small subunit ribosomal RNA", at positions 46 to 523 of the family's 1533-position model. The record is from RNAcentral.
GCCUAACACAUGCAAGUCGAACGGUAACAGGAAACAGCUUGCUGUUUCGCUGACGAGUGGCGGACGGGUGAGUAACACGCAGGUGAUCUGCCGAUCAGACGGGGACAACGGUUGGAAACGAUCGCUAAUACCGGAUAGGACGAAAGUUUAAAGGUGCUUCUGGCACCGCUGAUGGAUGAGCCUGCGGCGCAUUAGCUAGUUGGUAGGGUAAAGGCCUACCAAGGCGACGAUGCGUAGCCGACCUGAGAGGGUGAACGGCCACACUGGGACUGAGACACGGCCCAGACUCCUACGGGAGGCAGCAGUAGGGAAUCUUCGGCAAUGGGCGAAAGCCUGACCGAGCAACGCCGCGUGAAUGAUGAAGGCCUUCGGGUUGUAAAAUUCUGUUAUAAGGGAAGAACGACUUUAGUAGGAAAUGGCUAGAGUGUGACGGUACCUUAUGAGAAAGCCACGGCUAACUACGUGCCAGCAGCCGCCGUAA